UACGGGGGGGGCAAGCGUUGUUCGGAAUUACUGGGCGUAAAGGGCUCGUAGGCGGCCAACUAAGUCAGACGUGAAAUCCCUCGGCUUAACCGGGGAACUGCGUCUGAUACUGGAUGGCUAGAGGUUGGGAGAGGGAUGCGGAAUUCCAGGUGUAGCGGUGAAAUGCGUAGAUAUCUGGAGGAACACCGGUGGCGAAGGCGGCAUCCUGGACCGAGAUUGACGCUGAGGCGCGAAAGCGUGGGGAGCAAACAGG
RNAcentral lists this ribosomal RNA (253 nucleotides) under uncultured bacterium. RNAcentral's name for it is "partial 16S ribosomal RNA". It matches the Rfam family "Bacterial small subunit ribosomal RNA", at positions 524 to 776 of the family's 1533-position model. The record is from RNAcentral.